Molecule: non-coding RNA, 391 nt
Organism: Aegilops tauschii subsp. strangulata
Lineage: Eukaryota; Viridiplantae; Streptophyta; Magnoliopsida; Poales; Poaceae
Source: RefSeq, a predicted model, not a curated record
CUUUGCAGGUCAGAGAGUCAUCGGGGAACCUGUGGUAUCUGGGCUAGUCCUUGAUGAUUCUUGGCUUUGGGAUCCUGACUUUGCAACUGCUUCAAAGUAUGUGAUGAGUCCUCCAAUCCGGGAAGCAGGGCAUAAUAAAGCACUUCAAGCUGCUCUUUCAUCAGGAAUAUUACAGGAAGAUUCCCAAUGGCGUAAAUGGUAAGCCAUAGGGCUUGAACAAAGGAAACUGUGUUGUGUCAUUGCAAAUGGAAGCUGGCUAAGGCAUCUCUCUUUUCAUUACUUGAUCCCAGGUAUUGAAGAAAGGAUGCAUAUAAUUUGGGAUAGCAUGGUGGUAAGUUUUGAUUUCAAAUGUUGUUUUUCGUGAUGGGUACUAAGUUGGUUCCAUUGCCGG